UAGGCAGGUGGAGAAGGAUCACUUCAUUCUGAAGAAUGUGAGAAGGAAUGUGAGAAUCGUUGCUCAACAGCUAAGGACAAGAAAGCAUGUCUAACCUAUUGUAACAUUUCUUGUGGAAAAUGUUUUUGUGUUCCAUCUGGAACAUCUGGUCAUAAGGAAGAAUGUCCAUGCUACAACAACUAGAAAACUAAGAGAGGAACACCCAAAUGUCCCUAGUUUAUGUAUUGUUCCCGCAUGCAUAAAUCUCAGUCAAAGCAAUUUAUGUUUCUUGAUUAAUAAUGAAAAACAAUACUUAUAUGUUGAAGUCAAGUAUUGAUAUUAUACAAUUUGUGUUGGCCA
Vicia villosa (hairy vetch) is the source of this 339-nucleotide long non-coding RNA. RefSeq lists it as uncharacterized. The record is from RefSeq and is a predicted model, not a curated record. Lineage: Eukaryota; Viridiplantae; Streptophyta; Magnoliopsida; Fabales; Fabaceae. The transcript has 2 exons.